GAGGGUGUAGCUCCGUGGUAGAGCAUGGGCUUAGCAGGCGUGAGGUCCUGGGUUCAAUCCCCAGUACUGCCA
RNAcentral lists this transfer RNA (72 nucleotides) under Camelus dromedarius (Arabian camel). It matches the Rfam family "tRNA". From Rfam's summary of the family: Transfer RNA (tRNA) molecules are approximately 80 nucleotides in length. Lineage: Eukaryota; Metazoa; Chordata; Mammalia; Artiodactyla; Camelidae. RNAcentral also lists the same sequence under 1 other name. The record is from Rfam by way of RNAcentral.